This 510-nucleotide ribosomal RNA is filed under the name Lovettia sealii (Tasmanian whitebait). RNAcentral's name for it is "partial 16S ribosomal RNA". It matches the Rfam family "Bacterial large subunit ribosomal RNA", at positions 1854 to 2571 of the family's 2925-position model. The record is from RNAcentral. Lineage: Eukaryota; Metazoa; Chordata; Actinopteri; Galaxiiformes; Galaxiidae.
CCUGCCUGCCCUGUGACUAUAUGUUCAACGGCCGCGGUAUUUUGACCGUGCAAAGGUAGCGCAAUCACUUGUCUUUUAAAUAGAGACCCGUAUGAAUGGCAAGACGAGGGCUAAACUGUCUCCUUUUCCCAGUCAGUGAAAUUGAUCUCCCCGUGCAGAAGCGGGGAUAUUCUCAUAAGACGAGAAGACCCUAUGGAGCUUUAGACACUAGAAAGCCCACGUAAAACAGCUUUUUAAGCGGAACUAGCGGUACCUUAUCUAAAUGUCUUCGGUUGGGGCGACCGCGGGGGAAAGAAGAGCCCCCAUGUGGACCGGGAGUAUUUCCUAAAUUUAAGAAUAACCCUUCUAAAAAACAGAAAUUCUGACCAAAUUGAUNNNNCAAAGCCGAUUAACGAAACCAGUUACCCUAGGGAUAACAGCGCAAUCCCCUCCCAGAGUCCAUAUCGACGAGGGGGUUUACGACCUCGAUGUUGGAUCAGGACAUCCUAAUGGUGCAGACGCUAUUAAGGG